Molecule: ribosomal RNA, 458 nt
Filed under: uncultured Planctomycetales bacterium
Lineage: Bacteria; Pseudomonadati; Planctomycetota; Planctomycetia; Planctomycetales
Description: bacterial SSU rRNA
Rfam family: Bacterial small subunit ribosomal RNA
Source: RNAcentral
GGCGGCGUGGAUUAGGCAUGCAAGUCGAGCGAGAUCAGUUCCCUCACCUUGUGCUUUCGAUUUUCGAGAGUGCGGGGUGAGGGGACUGUGACAGCGGCGAAAGGGAGAGUAACGCGUAGUUACGUGCCCCGAGGUCCGGAAUAGCCAGCCGAAAGGCUGGGUAAUGCUGGAUAAUGUCCCCGGACCAAAGGUGUGAUUCCACCUCGGGAGCGGACUGCGUUGUACUAGCUAGUUGGUAGGGUAAUGGCCUACCAAGGCGAUGAUGCAUACCGGGCGUGAGAGCGUGGCCCGGCUCACUGGGACUGAGACACUGCCCAGACACCUACGGGUGGCUGCAGUCGAGAAUCUCCGGCAAUGAGCGCAAGCUUGACCGAGCGACGCCGCGUGCGGGAUGAAGGCCUUCGGGUUGUAAACCGCUUUCAGUGGGGAGGAAAUCGCUAGGGGUUCUCCCCUAGUGU